UUGGAGAUACAAUCAAGGAAAUGCUCUUGAUGGUAAGUUAUUCCCCUUUUUAUUUCUGCGUGAGCUUUCUUGAACUCUUUAUCGUGAUGGUUGUCUUUUUGUAUCAGGUGAUGGGCCUCUUUAUGGAGGUGGAUGCUCGCGACCACUCUCUCCAGGAAUCUGUAGACCGCCGGAUUGAGGAGGCGCGCCUGGAGGAGAA
RNAcentral lists this long non-coding RNA (199 nucleotides) under Manihot esculenta (cassava). RNAcentral's name for it is "long non-coding RNA (MESC_LNC012830)". Lineage: Eukaryota; Viridiplantae; Streptophyta; Magnoliopsida; Malpighiales; Euphorbiaceae. The record is from RNAcentral.